This is a long non-coding RNA of Pezoporus occidentalis (night parrot), 607 nucleotides long. RefSeq lists it as uncharacterized. The record is from RefSeq and is a predicted model, not a curated record. The transcript is spliced from 2 exons. Lineage: Eukaryota; Metazoa; Chordata; Aves; Psittaciformes; Psittacidae.
CUAGGAGAUGCAUUGAGGAAAACUUCCUUCAUGAACCCACAAAACUUCCCCCUUUGCUCACAAGAUUUUGAUUACCUGAGACAUGGCCAAGCAAGAGGUGUUGCAGGCAACCCAUGAGAAUUCAUUCAAGCCACUGAUUAGAAAUAGAUGCAACAAAAUUAGGAGCUCAAGAUAUACCAGGAGGAGGCAGGGAAUGACAUUUAACAUAAGGCCUUCUGUGGUUCCCAUUGCAAAUGUGCUCAUCCUGUUGCAUUGGAGUGCCAAAAACCAAUCUGUUUUUUUGGUCUGGGAAUGGAUCAGGAUACGUGGCAGUACCUACAAGCACACUUCAAAAACAAUGCUAAUAUGUAGUUUAGGAUUUAUCAUUUGUUAUUAGUUUUUUACUGCAGAGACUUUUAUCAAGGUGCUUUUAUGAAGAAUAAAUAUUAUUUUAACCAUAUCACUCCUGGAAAAAGAGAUUUGGGGUUUCAUAGUAACCUAAUAGUGGAUCUUGAAAACAACUCACACCCCCUGAUUUGCAAUUCAUCCUUCUACUCUGGAAAAAUUAGCAUUACAAAAAGCUGUCAAUAUGAUAAACCAGGUUUGCUCUUAAGAAUGAUUUACCUGA